AGCACACGACUGACGCUCAUGCACGAAAGCGUGGGUAUCGAACAGGAUUAGAUACCCUGGUAGUCCACGCGGUAAACGAUGAUAACUAGUUAUUCGGCGCGACUGAGCGCUGAGUGACCGAGCGAAAGCGUUAAGUUAUCCACCUGGGGAGUACGCCGGCAACGGUGAAACUCAAAGGAAUUGACGGGGGCCCGCACAAGCGGAGGAACAUGUGGUUUAAUUCGAUGAUACGCGAGGAACCUUACCCGGGCUCAAACGCAGCGCGACAGACCCUGAAAGGGGUUUUUCUUCGGACGCGCUGCGAGGUGCUGCAUGGUUGUCGUCAGCUCGUGCCGUGAGGUGUCGGCUUAAGUGCCAUAACGAGCGCAACCCCCAUCUUCAGUUGCCCCCGGGUAAAGCCGGGCACUCUGGAGAGACUGCCGGCGCAAGCUGUGAGGAAGGCGGGGAUGACGUCAAAUCAGCACGGCCCUUACGUCCGGGGCGACACACGUGUUACAAUGGCGGGGCAACAGAGGGAAGCCAGGCGGCGACGCCGAGCGGAUCCCGAAAACCCGUCUCAGUUCGGAUCGGAGUCUGCAACCCGACUCCGUGAAGCUGGAUU
RNAcentral lists this ribosomal RNA (601 nucleotides) under uncultured bacterium. Its description in RNAcentral is "bacterial SSU rRNA". It matches the Rfam family "Bacterial small subunit ribosomal RNA", at positions 731 to 1332 of the family's 1533-position model. The record is from RNAcentral.